AAGAAAACAUAACGAAAAUGCAUAAGAACUAGCUAACUAAGGCGCAUAAAUAUGCUCCUAUCAUGAAUUCCUUUUGAUCAAUGUGUGCGGGAAAUAAGUGUGGGGGAAGGAUUAGUAAUAUGGGGAUGUGCCAAAGUCUUGAAUGAGGCACGGCAAAGAAGAGAAAAAAAUGAGAAAAGAAAAAAUUCGUGAAAAAUAGAAAGAAAAAAAGAAAAGUUGUGAAAAACAUGCAAAAUAGUUGAAAUGCAUGUGAAAAAGAGUUCCAAAGUGUUGGUUGUUGAAGAAAGGGUCCAAAGAGUUGCAUGAGGCACGGCCCUAAUUGAUUGUUUGAGCCUUCCCUUCUGUUUUGAAAUUGAUUUCGGCAUGCUAAAGUGAAUUCUAAGUUUCGAGUUCCAUACUUUGCUUACUAUUGUUUUUAAGAACGUUUGUUUUCCAUAUCCGUUUUUGUUAGCCAAUACCUUAAGCCCCGUUACAACCCUUGACUUUAAUCUUGAGUGUUGUGUAUUUCAAUUUGUGGAGUUUGAAAUUGGUUUGAGCAUAUGGUGUCAUUGGUUUGCGCAUCUAAGUAGUAGCAUUCCAUUCAUGAGAUCAUAUUUUAUAAAACAUGUUAUUAACUCCGGAAAUUGCUCCCUUUGUCAUACAUAUAUGUGAGCAUUCGUUUUUAUUCUUACAUCAAUCUUCUCACAUAUAACUAGUGUAGGGUGUGUAGUUAGAAAAUCUGAGUGAAAAUAGAGUGCAUAUCUAGUAAGGAAUUGAGGGAUUCUCUAAGGCAUGUUACUACAUUCAAAACAUUGUUUUAAUUGGUUAAAUGUGAACUAGUAAGUAGUGACUACGAUUAAGUAUGUGCUUAAGUGUAAAGAUGGCUAAAAACUGUGGGAAUGAUGAUUUUUAACAUGUCAUGUGCAUUGGAAAUCCCUGAGGCGAUUGUUGGAAGGUUUAGGUUGUUUUACUUGUUUUAUUUCGUUUUGUUCUUUUGUUUCGUUUUGUUUUGCUCGAGGACUAGCAAAAGCUAAGUGUGGGGGAAUUUGAUAGGAGCAUAUUUAUGCGCCUUAGUUUAGCUUGUUCUUGUGCAUUUAUAGUGUUUUUCCUUAGUAAAGUAGUCUUUUAAGCUAGUUUUAUGUGUUUUCAGGUUCUAAGGGAAAAAUAUGAAAAAUGAUGCAUUUUGGAGCCUUUUGGAGCAAAGUUGAGCUUGGAAUGGAUGUCAUAUGCUUGGAGCCAAGAGGAUGG
RNAcentral lists this long non-coding RNA (1227 nucleotides) under Malus domestica (apple). RNAcentral describes it as "long non-coding RNA (MDOM_LNC020811)". The record is from RNAcentral. Lineage: Eukaryota; Viridiplantae; Streptophyta; Magnoliopsida; Rosales; Rosaceae.